UACGGGGGGAGCAAGCGUUGUUCGGAUUUACUGGGCGUAAAGGGCGCGUAGGCGGCCACCGCAAGUCAAUUGUGAAAUCUCCGGGCUUAACUCGGAAAGGUCAACUGAUACUGCGGGGCUAGAGUGCGGAAGGGGCAACUGGAAUUCUCGGUGUAGCGGCGAAAUGCGUAGAUAUCGAGAGGAACACCUGCGGCGAAGGCGGGUUGCUGGGCCGACACUGACGCUGAGGCGCGAAAGCGUGGGGAGCAAACAGG
This 254-nucleotide ribosomal RNA is filed under the name uncultured bacterium. RNAcentral describes it as "partial 16S ribosomal RNA". It matches the Rfam family "Bacterial small subunit ribosomal RNA", at positions 524 to 776 of the family's 1533-position model. The record is from RNAcentral.